RNAcentral lists this transfer RNA (72 nucleotides) under Rhamnusium bicolor. RNAcentral's name for it is "tRNA-OTHER". The record is from RNAcentral. Lineage: Eukaryota; Metazoa; Arthropoda; Insecta; Coleoptera; Cerambycidae.
AUCUUGAUCGAGCGGUAACGACACUUGCCUCUCACCCUGGAGUCCCGGGUUCGAACCCCGGUCGAAGAGAUA